This 946-nucleotide non-coding RNA is filed under the name Teratoscincus microlepis (Small-scaled wonder gecko). RNAcentral describes it as "12S rRNA". It matches the Rfam family "Bacterial small subunit ribosomal RNA". Lineage: Eukaryota; Metazoa; Chordata; Lepidosauria; Squamata; Sphaerodactylidae. The record is from RNAcentral.
CACCGUUUUUGGUCCUAUACUUCCUGUUACUUUUAGCUGCACUUACACAUGCCAGCCUCCACAUCCCAGUGCAACCGCCCAAGCCCCUACCCCCUAGACCAGGAGCAGAUAUCAGGCACGCAGCCCCUGCAGCCCAAAACAUCUCGUUCUACCACACCCCCACGGGACCCAGCAGUGAUAAAUAUUAAACAUAAGCGCCCGCUUGAUUUAAUGACAGCUAAACAGGGCCGGUAAAUUUCGUGCCAGCCACCGCGGUUAUACGAAAGGCCCAAAAUAACUACCCCCGGCGUAAAUUGUGGCUAGAGAAAAGCCAAGCCAAGAAAUCAAAACCGCAACCCAGCCGUAAAACGCACAAGACACGAAGAACACCCACUAAUCUCAAAACUUUAGCACCCUUGAACCCACGAAAACCAAGAAACAAACUAGGAUUAGAUACCCUACUAUGCUCGGUCCUUAACCCAGGCCAAACCAACACCAAUAGCCCGCCAGAAGACUACAAGUGAAAAACUCAAAACUCAAAGGACUUGACGGUGCCCCACCCCCCUAGAGGAGCCUGUCCUAUAAUCGAUACCCCACGCUACACCCAACCCGCCCUAGCACUUCAGCCUAUAUACCGCCGUCGCCAGCCUACCUCAUGAGAGCUUAACCGUAGGCCAAAUGAUUCCCCACCAACACGUCAGGUCAAGGUGUAGCUAAUGGGCGGGAAGAGAUGGGCUACAUUUUCUAAACUAGAACACUACCACCAGCGGCAUGAAACACCCAGCCAAAAGGCGGAUUUAGCAGUAAACAAGACAAUGACAUGUCAUCUUGAAGCCAGCCCUGGGGCGCGUACACACCGCCCGUCACCCUCCUCACAGUCCUUAUUUACUACAUAAGCAUCCUAAUAGACACCAAGAUGGGGUAAGUCGUAACAUGGUAAGCGUACUGGAAAGUGCGCUUGGAACAC